This 1215-nucleotide ribosomal RNA is filed under the name uncultured bacterium. RNAcentral's name for it is "partial 16S ribosomal RNA". It matches the Rfam family "Bacterial small subunit ribosomal RNA", at positions 11 to 1375 of the family's 1533-position model. The record is from RNAcentral.
GUUUGAUCAUGGCUCAGGAUGAACGCUAGCGACAGGCCUAACACAUGCAAGUCGAGGGGUAACAAGAUGUAGCAAUACAUUGUUGACGACCGGCGCACGGGUGAGUAACGCGUAUGUAACCUACCUUCUACAGGGGAAUAGCCCGGAGAAAUCCGGAUUAAUACCCCAUAACACAGGGACUCCGCAUGGAGAUAUUUGUUAAAGAUUAAUCGGUAGAAGAUGGGCAUGCGUUCCAUUAGCCAGUUGGUGAGGUAACGGCUCACCAAAGCAACGAUGGAUAGGGGAACUGAGAGGUUUAUCCCCCACACUGGAACUGAGACACGGACCAGACUCCUACGGGAGGCAGCAGUGAGGAGUAUUGGUCAAUGGGCGAGAGCCUGAACCAGCCAAGUCGCGUGAAGGAAGUCUGCCUUAUGGGUUGUAAACUUCUUUUAUAUGGGAAUAAAAAGAGUUACGAGUAACUUAUUGCAAGUACCAUAUGAAUAAGCAUCGGCUAACUCCGUGCCAGCAGCCGCGGUAAUACGGAGGAUGCGAGCGUUAUCCGGAUUUAUUGGGUUUAAAGGGUGCGCAGGCGGUUUAUUAAGUCAACGGUGAAAUCUAGAGGCUCAACCUCUAAACUGCCGUUGAAACUGGUAGACCUGAGAUAGAUAGAUGAUUACUAGUUGUUUGCGAUAUGAUAGCAAGUGACUAAGCGAAAGCGAUAAGUAAUCCACCUGGGGAGUACGCCGGCAACGGUGAAACUCAAAGGAAUUGACGGGGGCCCGCACAAGCGGAGGAACAUGUGGUUUAAUUCGAUGAUACGCGAGGAACCUUACCCGGGCUUGAAAUGCAUCUGACCGUAGUGGAAACAUUACUUCUAGCAAUAGCAGAUGUGUAGGUGCUGCAUGGUUGUCGUCAGCUCGUGCCGUGAGGUGUCGGCUUAAGUGCCAUAACGAGCGCAACCCACAUUGUUAGUUACUAACAGGUAGUGCUGAGGACUCUAACAAGACUGCCAGCGUAAGCUGUGAGGAAGGUGUGGAUGACGUCAAAUCAGCACGGCCCUUACGUCCGGGGCGACACACGUGUUACAAUGGAUGGUACAGAGGGUAGCUACCUGGUGACAGGAUGCUAAUCUCGAAAGCCAUUCCCAGUUCGGAUUGGAGUCUGCAACUCGACUCCAUGAAGCUGGAUUCGCUAGUAAUCGCGCAUCAGCCAUGGCGCGGUGAAUACGUUCCC